Molecule: long non-coding RNA, 597 nt
Organism: Labrus bergylta (ballan wrasse)
Lineage: Eukaryota; Metazoa; Chordata; Actinopteri; Labriformes; Labridae
Source: RefSeq, a predicted model, not a curated record
CACCAAUACAGGAAAGACCUCUCGUUAACCAUCAUUGAUUACAGCUGUGUUGUUUCCUCUCCACGAGUCAGUUGUCUGCAGGGAAGCAGUUGAGAACAGUCAAACAUUGAGUCUCAAGUCAAUUAAGGGAAAUACAGUAAAACAAAGUUAUAUUUUCAAGCUAAAGAAGACAAUGAACUGAAUUGUGAAGCUUGUCAAACUUCUUUCUCACUACAAACAACAGUAAGUGAGCAUAUCAACAAAAUAUGCUGGAUACUUCAGCUUGCUUCCUGCUGUAGGUAGUAGCAACUAGGAGUUAGCUUUUUUGGUCAAAGAUGGAAGGAAAAGCUGAAUUAUACUUCACAGUGACAACUGCAGUGGGUCUUAACUUUAAGACUGGGACACGUCGACACCGUUAUAGAAAAGAGAAAACUUCCGAGAAGAACGAUUGAAGCGGCUACAGGACAUGAUAUGAAAACUUUGUUUCCAUGGAAGGAAAUCACUUGAAAAUGAACAUUUUGCCAUGAAAAAACCUUCCAAAUGUACAGAAGUCUCUGUGAUGCAGAUGAUGCAGAAUGGACACAGCAGUAAUUUUAUUACAAUAAAAUAUUGAACAGA